ACGAACGCUGGCGGCGUGCUUAACCCAUGCCAGUCGAACGGAAAGGCCCUGCUUUUGUGGGGUUCUCGAGUGGCGAACGGGUGAGUAACACGUGAGUAACCUGCCCUUGACUUUGGGAUAACUUCAGGAAACUGGGGCUAAUACCGGAUAGGAGCUCCUGCUGCAUGGUGGGGGUUGGAAAGUUUCGGCGGUUGGGGAUGGACUCGCGGCUUAUCAGCUUGUUGGUGGGGUAGUGGCUUACCAAGGCUUUGACGGGUAGCCGGCCUGAGAGGGUGACCGGCCACAUUGGGACUGAGAUACGGCCCAGACUCCUACGGGAGACAGCAGUGGGGAAUAUUGCACAAUGGGCGGAAGCCUGAUGCAGCAACGCCGCGUGCGGGAUGACGGCCUUCGGGUUGUAAACCGCUUUCGCCUGUGACGAAGCGUGAGUGACGGUAAUGGGUAAAGAAGCACCGGCUAACUACGUG
RNAcentral lists this ribosomal RNA (467 nucleotides) under uncultured bacterium. RNAcentral describes it as "partial 16S ribosomal RNA". It matches the Rfam family "Bacterial small subunit ribosomal RNA", at positions 29 to 507 of the family's 1533-position model. The record is from RNAcentral.